This 72-nucleotide transfer RNA is filed under the name Ovis aries (sheep). It matches the Rfam family "tRNA". Rfam says of the family: Transfer RNA (tRNA) molecules are approximately 80 nucleotides in length. Their secondary structure includes four short double-helical elements and three loops (D, anti-codon, and T loops). Lineage: Eukaryota; Metazoa; Chordata; Mammalia; Artiodactyla; Bovidae. The record is from Rfam by way of RNAcentral.
UCUCUGGUGGCUCAGAUGGUAAAGCAUCUGCCUGCAGUGCAGGAGACUCGGGUUCGAUCCCUGUAUCAGGAA